GAUAUUUUUCUCUAGUAUAUGUUCAUCCCAUUAGCAGCCAUAAAUUCCAUAAGUUGAUAUUUGCACCUUGAUCAACCAACUGAGUUUUCAAAUCAGACACUUCAGUCUCAAAUUCAGCCACUUGUGUCUUAAGAUCAUUUACUUGAGAGUUAGACAUUUAUAGCUUUUGUUGUGUUUCUUGAAGUUCCUUUUGAACUUGUUGGGUAGCUAAAUUAGAUGAUGUGAUACGCCUGCUUGGAGGUUUUGGACCAUACCCAAGGCCUUUAAUGUAACCAGAUCCAUGGCCAAGAACCUCCAAGACUAUUUCAUCUGUGUUCUUCUCAGAUCCUUCUUCUCUAUAUUGAUCUCACUUUUUUUUCAUCAACUCCUAUUAAAACACAUGGAUGUAAGAAGGUAUAUACAGUUAAUUACAAUCAUUAACAUAGAAAAGGCUGGAUUUUAAACAAAUAGAUACGAAAGUUAUCCAAUUCUUUUCUACCACUUUAGAUGACCAACCCUUUUCCUCUGAAUAAUGCGUACGUUUAUAUAAAUCAAUCAUAUCAUAAGGAUCUCCAUUUAGCUCCUUUUGAGA
This 571-nucleotide long non-coding RNA is filed under the name Panax ginseng (ginseng). RNAcentral describes it as "long non-coding RNA (PGIN_LNC009763)". The record is from RNAcentral. Lineage: Eukaryota; Viridiplantae; Streptophyta; Magnoliopsida; Apiales; Araliaceae.